Molecule: long non-coding RNA, 2950 nt
Organism: Daucus carota subsp. sativus
Lineage: Eukaryota; Viridiplantae; Streptophyta; Magnoliopsida; Apiales; Apiaceae
Exons: 5
Source: RefSeq, a predicted model, not a curated record
CUUCUGCUUUCUUCACCUCCUCUGAAAUUUCAGUUUUCCGAUGAAAUAUGCAAAUAGAAAGGCACAUAAAAUGGGAUAUAUGGCAACAAUUACAGCCACAAGACCAAUUCUGUCAUGGUGAAACCCGAAAUAGUCUUCUAAGAAAGAGCACUACUCCCAUCAGCACAGCUGAAACGGUUGCAAAAGAUAAGCACUUGAAGUUGUAUGAUGGACUUCUCCAAUAUGACAGGUUUUGUUUCCACAGGCAUGCUUUGUACUGCUCCCAUCCGUUUCGUGGAAACUGAGUAGGAAAAUGCAGUUCUCUUGAACUUCCCUGUGGCUCUCUCAGUACUUUGAUUUGUUCUAUGUUCUCUCUGCAUUGAAACAUAAAUUAUCAGUUGUAUUUUAACUUUUUUUUGAUGGCCUACUUUUGCUACUAUGAUGUGCAAAUACUAUCUACAAGUUAUUUAUCACUUACUUGUACAGCUGAGAUUCCUUGUAAACUUGUGCAAAAUCUAAACCAAGCUGUUCCUCUAUGGAUCCCAUAGUAAUUUCUAACAUCCAUGUUGCUGGAUUGUAGUUCUUUUUAAUCACUGGAACUCCAGGAAUGCUCUGCGAAACGUAUGGUGCAUAGUCACAUAAAUUUUUAGUAUUUUUUAAUUGUAUAUGUGAUGCUUGUUUUGUGUUAAAUCGAUAUGUCAUGCUAUAGCCAUGAUGUUAGAUAAUGGAUGAAACAUAUAGUCAUGGCCAGUGGUAAUACAAUUGUCAUAAUCUGCUAGCUUUACCUCAAAAUAGUCGAUAAGCUUGCAUGAAUGCUGACCCAGUGGUCCUGAGUAAACUAUUUGUCCUCCCUUUUUCAUCAGAAUCAACUGCACAGAUUAAUUUAGUAUUCAACUCAGAGUUCUUCCAUGUGAAACUGCUCUUAACCUUUUCACAUUCUGUAUCCUACAAGUUCAUAGUAUAGUCCUACCUCAUCAAAUGCCUCAAAAAUGUCGAUGCUUGGUUGGUGGAUGGUGCAUACCACUGUUCUUCCGGUGUCAGCAACAUUUUUCACUGCACGCAUAACAAUGGCAGCUGCUCUAGCAUCCAGACCAGAUGUUGGUUCGUCCAUGAAUAUGAUUGACGGAUUAGAAACAAGUUCCACUGCGAUGGUUAGCCUCUUUCUUUGUUCAUUUGAUAGACCGCUUACUCCAGGAACUCCAACCAAACUAUUUUUAAUCCCAUCAAGUUCAACUAAUGUGAGCACAUCCCGGACAAAGUCCUGCAUAGUCAGGAUCACUUACAGUUGCGCUAAUAUGUGAUGGUAGCCUUAACCAAGAAGAGAAGAGUACUGAUUCUUCAACUGUGAUCUGAGGAGAAUGAAUGUCAGAUUGUUCGCAGUAACCUGAAAUCCUAGCAAAGGUUUGUUGAACCUUGGGGAAUCCUCCAACCCGGAUAACCCCUUCAAUAUGUUUGCUGUCUUUUCUUCCAGAGAGUAUAUCCAUCAGAGUUGUCUUUCCUGCUCCACUUUCUCCCAUCAAAGCUGUUAAAACACCUGGUUUAAAUGCUCCCGUCAUGUCAUGUAGAAGCUGAAGCCUUGUCUCCUGUUGAAUAAUUACCGCUGGAGUCUCAACAUAAUAGCGGACAUUCUCAAAUGUUAGUGUCAGGGGCUCAAAAGGUAAGACCACUUUACUGCCUUCUUGGAUCACUGGAAGAGUUUCACAGUACAAAAAAGUGGCAUUAUUUACUUGGCAAAAAUGGUAUCUUCAUACUUUGUUUUUGGCUCGUCUUCUGUUCAUCUGAAAUAGGCAGGGGAUAUAGAUGACUAACCUUCAAUUGAUAUGUUAUGCAACUGAGGUGUCGUUGUGGUUGAUCUUUCAUUAUUAUCAUCCUUAUCAUUACAUUGAUCUUCUUGCAGUUGCUGAAGUUUUUCGUAUGAUAUAACAGCCUGAGAUGCUCCUGGAGCUGAUUUUAAACAAAGGUUUAAUUUGUUGAGGAAGUCAGCAACACCCUUUCUUUCUGGGCACUGGAAACCACACGCAUGAAAGAAUUCGAGGGUAUCAACUCGAGGUCCAUGGUAAACUACUUUGCCUUCUGCAUACAAGAUUAUAUCAUCGAAAAGAUCAAAAGUUUCCGGGGCAGGCUGUAGUAGUGAUAUCAAUGCAGUGACAUUUGUGAUGUGGACCAAUUGCUGAAGGCAGCUUAUAAUCUGAAAUGUUGUCGAGGUGUCCAAACCAUUUGAGAUUUCAUCCAUAAACAACACCCUUUUUGGACUGACAAUCAUUUCUCCUGCGACAGAAAUUUGCACAUCCAUAAAAGUUCAUUUAUUGACUCAGUUGUACUUGUUUAAAGUUACUGAAUUACUGACCAGUUGCUAGUCUCCUCUUCUGACCACCUGAUAUGCCUCGUCUUAUCGCAUCACCAACAGGAGUAUCAGCGCAAACGUCUAGUCCCAGUAUCUGAAGGACAACAACAAUAUAUAUAGGAAUUGUUCUGUGGUUCACUUAACAUUGUGUUCGAUCUAUAUCUUUGAAUAUUGAUCAAGUUACCUUCAUUGUGUAAUCUGUUUGAAGUGUUCUCUCUAAUCCACUGACUGAUAUCGCCUGUCCAACGCGAGGCCAUAUAUCAAGAAAAAGAAAUAUUACCUUGAGUCGGAUAUUUACAUCUAAAUUAUAUGUUACCUUCAUAUAUGUAUCAAUUUCUGAUUCAGGAACAAUUCCUGCUUGCUUCUCCCUUCUACUAAUUUCAGCCAUCAUUUCUAUACAUUUAACAGAUACGUGUUAAUUUAAUACGAUGGAGCUGGAAAUUUAGGACCAUGUUCAAUUUACCUUUUCUGCUUUCGACGCCUUGACAACGGGCAGAAAAAUCAAUUGUCUCUCUUACUGUCAUCUCAGGAGUAUGCAAGUCAUACUGGCUUAUGUAAGCUGAUAUCUUCUGAGAAUUGAGAUCGUCUAACUUGCACUCAUUGUAAGAAACCUCCCCGCUUACCUGA